This 777-nucleotide ribosomal RNA is filed under the name uncultured Neocallimastigales. RNAcentral describes it as "partial large subunit ribosomal RNA". It matches the Rfam family "Eukaryotic large subunit ribosomal RNA", at positions 22 to 640 of the family's 3401-position model. Lineage: Eukaryota; Fungi; Neocallimastigomycota; Neocallimastigomycetes; Neocallimastigales. The record is from RNAcentral.
CAUAGCGACUAUCGUGGCAUAUCAAUAAGCGGAGGAAAAGAAACUAACAAGGAUUCCCUUAGUAACGGCGAGUGAAGCGGGAAGAGCUCAAAUUUGAAAUCUUCAAGGUUCUACCUUGACGAAUUGUAGUUUAUAGAAGUGUUUUCUGUUAGUAGAGUGGCAAAAGUUCUUUGGAAUAGGACAUCAUAGAGGGUGAGAAUCCCGUAUUUGGUCAUUCCUUCCUAGCUUUGUGAUACACUUUCAACGAGUCGGAUUGUUUGGGAAUGCAGUCCAAAGUGGGUGGUAAAUUUCAUCUAAAGCUAAAUAUUGGCGAGAGACCGAUAGCGAACAAGUACCGUGAGGGAAAGAUGAAAAGAACUUUGAAAAGAGAGUUAAACAGUACGUGAAAUUGUCAAAAGGGAAGCGUUUGACACCAGUGUUGUUUUUCCGAAAAUCAAUUACGAAUGUUUUAUUUUUGGAGAAGUUAUGACUUCAUCGGCUUGCUUCUUCUUUACGAAACUUUCUUAAUGCACUUUUCGGUUAACAAGUCAACAUCAAUUUCUUUUGUUGUAAAAGGGUAUGAGGAAGGUGGCUUUCUUUUCGGAGAAAGUGUUUAGAGCCUUGUACCUCUAGCAAUCGGAGAGAUUGAGGUCUGCAGCGUAGAUCCUUCGGGGUUAGAUACAUUUGUGCUAAGUUAUAGCUUUUCAUAGACAACUUGUUGACUAUGUUUAGUCUUGUAGCUUACUCGCUUACUGCUAUUUUACCUACGCUUAGGAUGUUGAUAUGCAUGACUGAUAU